RNAcentral lists this ribosomal RNA (433 nucleotides) under Rahavavy fanivelona. RNAcentral describes it as "partial 16S ribosomal RNA". The record is from RNAcentral. Lineage: Eukaryota; Metazoa; Arthropoda; Arachnida; Araneae; Phyxelididae.
UUCUAAUAGUAAUUUUUAUUAGUAAAUUCUGCUCAAUGAAAUUUAAAUAGCCGCAAUUUAAGUGCUAAGGUAGCAUAAUCAUUCGUCUUCCAAUAAAAGACUAGAAUGAACGAAUAAACACUUAAAUUCCUUUCUUAAAAUUAAAAAUUCAACUUUUUCUAAAUAUAAAAAAAUAUUUAUUUAAAAGAAAGACGACAAGACCCUAUUGAACUUUACUUAAGUUUAAUUGGGGAAAUAAAUUAAUUAAUAUUUUAAAUCAUCUAAAAACACAAAUAUCCAAUAUAAUUGAAAUAAACAAGUUACCAUAGGGAUAACAGCGUAAUAUUGUUUUUAAGAUCUUAUUUUAAAUUUUCUUACGACCUCGAUGUUGAAUAAAUACCUAAAAAAGGCAACAAAUUUUUAAGGAAGUCUGUUCGACUUUUAAAUAUUUACA